AGAAGUUUAGGAUAUAACUAGUCCAAGAGCCUUCAAAGCUCUAAGAAAAUUUACCAAAUUUAACUUCUGC
RNAcentral lists this transfer RNA (70 nucleotides) under Millardia meltada (soft-furred rat). RNAcentral's name for it is "tRNA-Trp". The record is from RNAcentral. Lineage: Eukaryota; Metazoa; Chordata; Mammalia; Rodentia; Muridae.